RNAcentral lists this transfer RNA (77 nucleotides) under Paenimyroides tangerinum. RNAcentral describes it as "Flavobacterium sp. YIM 102701-2 tRNA-Thr". It matches the Rfam family "tRNA". Rfam says of the family: Transfer RNA (tRNA) molecules are approximately 80 nucleotides in length. Their secondary structure includes four short double-helical elements and three loops (D, anti-codon, and T loops). Further hydrogen bonds mediate the characteristic L-shaped molecular structure. tRNAs have two regions of fundamental functional importance: the anti-codon, which is responsible for specific mRNA codon recognition, and the 3' end, to which the tRNAs corresponding amino acid is attached (by aminoacyl-tRNA synthetases). tRNAs cope with the degeneracy of the genetic code in two manners: having more than one tRNA (with a specific anti-codon) for a particular amino acid; and 'wobble' base-pairing, i.e. permitting non-standard base-pairing at the 3rd anti-codon position. Lineage: Bacteria; Pseudomonadati; Bacteroidota; Flavobacteriia; Flavobacteriales; Flavobacteriaceae. The record is from RNAcentral.
GCCUGUGUAGCUCAGUUGGCUAGAGCAGCUGAUUUGUAAUCAGCAGGUCGUGGGUUCGAGUCCCUCCAUAGGCUCAA